This 376-nucleotide ribosomal RNA is filed under the name uncultured bacterium. RNAcentral describes it as "bacterial SSU rRNA". It matches the Rfam family "Bacterial small subunit ribosomal RNA", at positions 29 to 433 of the family's 1533-position model. The record is from RNAcentral.
AACGAACGCUGGCGGCAGGCUUAACACAUGCAAGUCGAACGCGUGUAGCAAUACACGAGUGGCGCACGGGUGAGUAACGCGUGGAUAUCUGCCUUUUGGUUCGGAAUAACUCCGGGAAACUGGAGCUAAUACCGGAUGGUUCCUACGGGAUAAAGAUUUAUCGCCAAAAGAUGAGUCCGCGUACGAUUAGCUAGUUGGUGAGGUAAUGGCUCACCAAGGCGACGAUCGUUAGCUGGUCUGAGAGGACGAUCAGCCACACUGGGACUGAGACACGGCCCAGACUCCUACGGGAGGCAGCAGUGGGAAUAUUGGACAAUGGGGCAACCUGAUCCAGCCAUGCCGCGUGAGUGAUGAAGGCCUUCGGGUUGUAAAGCUC